RNAcentral lists this ribosomal RNA (253 nucleotides) under uncultured bacterium. RNAcentral describes it as "partial 16S ribosomal RNA". It matches the Rfam family "Bacterial small subunit ribosomal RNA", at positions 524 to 776 of the family's 1533-position model. The record is from RNAcentral.
UACGAAAGGUGCAAGCGUUGUUCGGAAUCACUGGGCGUAAAGCGCACGUAGGCGGGUUUGUGUGUCGAUUGUGAAAGCCCCGGGCUCAACCCGGGAACUGCAGUCGAAACUGCAGAUCUUGAAUACUUGAGAGGGUGGGGGAAUUCCUGGUGGAGAAGUGAAAUUCGUAGAUAUCAGGAGGAACAUCAGAGGCGAAGGCGCCUGCCUGGCAAUGUAUUGACGCUGAGGUGCGAAAGUGCGGGGAGCAAACAGG